This 434-nucleotide ribosomal RNA is filed under the name Salinicola sp. RNAcentral's name for it is "bacterial SSU rRNA". It matches the Rfam family "Bacterial small subunit ribosomal RNA", at positions 80 to 508 of the family's 1533-position model. Lineage: Bacteria; Pseudomonadati; Pseudomonadota; Gammaproteobacteria; Oceanospirillales; Halomonadaceae. The record is from RNAcentral.
UUGCUCCCUGGUGGCGAGCGGCGGACGGGUGAGUAAUGCAUAGGAAUCUGCCCGGUAGUGGGGGAUAACCUGGGGAAACCCAGGCUAAUACCGCAUACGUCCUACGGGAGAAAGCAGGGGCUCUUCGGACCUUGCGCUAUCGGAUGAGCCUAUGUCGGAUUAGCUGGUUGGUGAGGUAAUGGCUCACCAAGGCGACGAUCCGUAGCUGGUCUGAGAGGAUGAUCAGCCACACUGGGACUGAGACACGGCCCAGACUCCUACGGGAGGCAGCAGUGGGGAAUAUUGGACAAUGGGCGCAAGCCUGAUCCAGCCAUGCCGCGUGUGUGAAGAAGGCUCUCGGGUUGUAAAGCACUUUCAGCGAGGAAGAAGGCUUGGCGGCUAAUACCCGUCAAGAAGGACAUCACUCGCAGAAGAAGCACCGGCUAACUCCGUGC